CAUCUUCUAGGCUUUCGCAACCACAUUUCAGCUGCUAGACAAUUUACCUCGGAGAGGAUACGCCUACUGCUAAGAAAUUAAUAAACGUCAAAAUGCCAAACAAUUCGAGCAAUGUUUCCGGAAACGAAGUUUGUAAGAGAGUUGCCAUAGCCGGGGGAGUCCUUGCUCCGACUGGUAUUGGAGCUGCUGUUGGAACACUCGGUGGACCGCCUGGAAUAAUCCUAGGCUUAAUAAUUGGAGGCUGUGUAACUGUAGUUUGGACAACCGUAGCCUAUUGUCGAAAGAAGUAACUGCUGGCCAGAGUUUCGUCUAGCUAGCUGUGGUUGUUCAAGAACAGACUGAUGCGAAUGGAUCCCUGUAGUACAAUGUUGUUGCAAGAAGAACUAGUGCAGUCACGAAAGUACAAUUACAAAUUAACAUAACAACAGAACAAUGUUUUCUAAACAUGUACAUGUAAUAUAUACUGCCAAUUCGAUUUUGUCUCAUAGCUGUCUUGGUGAACUUUGAAUGGCAGACAACCAGAGCGUUUGGACUUCGAAAGGGGACCAAUUGUUCGCACCAGCCAGCACAGAUUAUAUCAUAUAUUCUUGUAGUGGGAUUUAUCUGUACUUGACAAAGGGUGGCAUGGUGCCGAGUUUAUCGUAACACCCUCGGUCAGUGUUAUCGCAGAUUGUUGAUUGUCACUGUAGUUUUGUCGAUUGCAUUUUUUUGGCAUCGUACCGUCCAGGAUUAUGCAUUAUCACUCCCGUGGCCAAAAUGGCAUGGUUGUGAUUAUUCCAUGACAAGUGAUAUAGCUUAUUCUGCAGCCCGUUUUGCUGAAAACCCCCAAAUGAUAUGUAAUAAAUGUAAUAAAUGUAAUAAAUUGACGUAGUAAAUAAAA
Lineus longissimus is the source of this 880-nucleotide long non-coding RNA. RefSeq lists it as uncharacterized. Lineage: Eukaryota; Metazoa; Nemertea; Pilidiophora; Heteronemertea; Lineidae. The record is from RefSeq and is a predicted model, not a curated record. The transcript has 2 exons.